This is a long non-coding RNA of Brachypodium distachyon (stiff brome), 1271 nucleotides long. RefSeq lists it as uncharacterized. The record is from RefSeq and is a predicted model, not a curated record. Lineage: Eukaryota; Viridiplantae; Streptophyta; Magnoliopsida; Poales; Poaceae. The transcript is spliced from 2 exons.
GACCUUCUAAACUUCUGUAAUUGCAACUUUUCAACAGAGGUGACUUCGUGCAACUUUUUUAAGUUUCUUUUUUCUCGCGGCUUAAAAACCUUUUUUCUCGAAACAAUCCGCAGUUUUUCGAGGACUUAGAUGCGAUUAUUUUCCCUUAUCUGCUUGCGAGGAAGCCACGCGUCGCGGAAGGCGACGGCGGACGGCCGGUCGCCACGAAGCGGAAAGCGACUGGAUCUGGUGGCUGGUGCCAAGGAAGAGCGGGGCAGCGAUGUCUACCGGCAGAAAUGAACACGCAUAAAAAUUGCACAGGCAAGAGAGAGGGAGACAGAAACCUCUUGCGAGGAGUUGUUUCCUUCCAGCAGAGGGCUCUUGUCAAAGUGGUCCAUGGAGUUCAUGACUUUGUUCUCUUGCAACCUGAAGAAACGAGGUUGAUGUCCUGAGAAAGCAAGAGGAGGAACGAAGAAGAUGGCAUGACAAAAAGGUGGAGCUGCAGGUUGGAUGUCUCACUCACAAUGAUGCUGCUUCACAGCACCCAAAAUUAGCAAUUAAAAAACAGUGGCCCCAACAACAGGCAAAUCGGGUGAGAUGCUCUUUCCAACUGCUUUUGAUCUCACAAUCGAGUAUACACAAAUAUGUUAAUAUGCUACAGACCACGAGACAUACAAAAUAUGAGGAAAAUAAGGACAGCAAAAGAAAAAACAGCAUCGAUUAUCAGACAUAUAGAGUACACUUGGUACACAACAGGUAUCAAUAACUCUGCAGCUCAGAUUUGGCAGGUGUGCCAAGUGCCAACUGACUCCUCCGGUUGGUUCUCAAAUCUCAACCUCCUACCCAAACCAAACCUUCCCCCGCAUCAAAGAGGAAGCGCAUACAAAUAUAAUCGGAGACGAACUGCAUGUGGUAAUUUGGCGGGUUACUCACUUGCGAGAGCGCAGCGCCUGAGCUUGAUUUGAGCGGAGAUCCCGAGACCGGAGAGCGCGACUGCAGGAAGAGGAAGCAGGGCGAGGAGGGAGAUGCACCACGCAGCCGCAGGGGACGGUGCACCACCUGGCAGCUAGGUGGACGCAGGCGCAGCGCCUGAGCUUGAUUUGAGUAGCAGACUUGGAGUGCAGACUUUAGAAAGGCCUCUCUCUGCCUGUGAAACCGGUGGAGCUGACAGUUAAAAGAAUGCAUGAUGCCGUGCGUUUUAUUUUCUUUCUUGUGUUUCAGUUUCUUUUCUACCGGCUUUUCCAACAUACUCCUCCGGUCCCAUAAUAAUUUUUAUCGAAAUCUUACAUAGA